Molecule: long non-coding RNA, 2130 nt
Organism: Crotalus tigris (Tiger rattlesnake)
Lineage: Eukaryota; Metazoa; Chordata; Lepidosauria; Squamata; Viperidae
Exons: 3
Source: RefSeq, a predicted model, not a curated record
GCCAACAGGAAUUGCUGCUGAGCGCGCCAAAACAUCCGGCCGGCAAACUUUGCACAUGAUACACAAGAGAUUCUGAAGUUGCCAAAAUAGCUCAUCUUCCAGAACAUCAGGAAGAAAGCAAUUCUUCUGGUUUGCCAUGAAAACAAGAAGACUGUUUACUAAAGCUUUUUACAGGUUUCAGUGGGAACUUACACCAGCACUUUGCUACUAUGAGCUUCUAUUCCCAGACAAAACAUUGACAUGUUGUUUGUGACGGACCACCCACAAAGGUGACACAAUUAUGCCCUUUGGCAAAACAGGAAAGGAUUUGUAUACCUCAGUUAUAAAUCUCAUAUAUGCAAACACAUACAUGCAUACAUAUGAACUAGGAGUUAAGCUGAAUGUAAAAUUCCAUUAAUUGCCAAUAUCCUAUGUCUCAUACAGUUUAUGAAAAAUGUAGGCAAAUUAAGCUGCCAGCUAAUAAAGUAAUAUUAAUCAAGAAAUAUGAUGGCAAUGAGUGCCUUAACAGAAUUUGUGUUGGCAUUUCUCCUGAUUCGUAAUUUUCUCAAAAAUAUAUUCUUAGUGAUGAAAGAGAUCUCUACAUAGUAAUAAAACUGGUUUAACUUUUAUGAAUAAUGAUUAAGACAUACCAGACAUAUUUUAGGAUGGCAAUAAACAGAGUCAUUUUAUUGUGCAAUGUAUCAGCUCGCUUCAGAAGUUAUUAUAGUAUGUUCUAAUAUGUUUUUAUUUCCAGCAACUAGUCAUAAUAUUAAUAAUAAUAAGUUGACCAAAGAAACUCCAAAAUAUUCUUUGGACAUGGUCCUUCAGUAGUAAUUUGAUCAGAUCCAGAACUCAGGAACUACUAUAAGUGUUAACUCUAGUUAGUCUUAGUCUGGCUAAAGAAGUUAAGUAGCAUCAAUUACAUAGGUUAUGUAGAAUCAGUGCUGAUUAAUAUUUGGAUGAGAUUCUUCUAGGCAACACAAAUGUUGUAGACUAGAUGGGAAAUAAGACAAUAACCAAACACUUCUUUAUUGUUAUGAAGAAAACUGCAUGGAUAUAUCCAUUAAGCCAUCUUUGGUUGAGCUCAUCUUGAAGACGUUUUAAUGUUUUAUUAGUUUGAAACUGGAAGUUCAGAUCCCAAAUACCCAUGAUUCAAUAUCUGAAAAAAAUAAAUUAGUGACUUUGACAUUUCAUUAGUUUCAUUUCUAACUAAUUGGCCAGGACUAACUGUCUGAAUUCAUGGGUAUCUACAAAAGGAGGGCAAGUGAUAAAACAUAUUUCAUAAUGUCUUCCCUCUUUACUUUCUUGAAGUACAAAAGGCAGAAUUUGACUCAUGAUACCAUAAAUCCUUUUUUAAAUUUUGCCAUCAGUGUGGAAGCCUCCUUUGUAAUUAAAACCCAUGGAAAACAGACAAAACAGACCAAACCCAAACUCAAAUGAAAUUAAUCAGUAAAUCCAAAUGUCCCAAUAAUAAAUCACAUUAAUGUGCAAUGACUUGUGUGAGCAAGCAAGGCAAGCAAUUUCAGCAAACAGUAGCUCAAAAUGGCAGAUUUUAAUACCCCCCUUUCCCCAACACUCAAAUGCAAAAUAAGCCUUAUUACUUGCAAAGAAUAAUAUUUGUCUGAUGAGUUCUUCUUUCCUUUGCCACCUUGUAUUUUCUAUGCUAAGACUGGUCAGUUGUCUGGCUGGUGAUUUAGACACAUUUUCUCAGCUGAACCAACUUUAAGAUGUGUGGACUUCAGCUCCUGGAAUUCCCUAGCUAUUCUGGGAGUUAAACUCUACAUAUCUUAAAGUUGCUGAGAUUAAGGAACAUUAGUUCAAACCAAGAAAUACAGUAUCCAUACUGAAGAAGCCAGCCCCAGGGAGUGUCCUCUAAAGGAGAAGAGUCUCUUCCUCCUCUUCUUUGUCCGUCCUCAAGAUUUCCAACACAACUUCUGAAGGGUAGUUUUCCAAGUAUUUUCAAAAUGUAUUCUAACAAUAUUCUAAUUGUCGUUGUGUGUGUGGGGGGGGGAUCCAUUCAAAAUUGUCAUUUUUGAAAACUGGAACAGGUAAAUAUUCAAGGCAGUUUUUAUUUUAAUGUUGAGGACAAUAGUAAAAAAGAAGGUACGUAAAUGGGAAAAAAUCCCUUGUGUCCUCCUUUUUAUUUGGUAC